GAUGAACGCUGGCGGCGUGCCUAAUACAUGCAAGUCGAGCGAACGGACGAGAAGCUUGCUUUUCUGAUGUUAGCGGCGGACGGGUGAGUAACACGUGGACAACCUACCUAUAAGACUGGGAUAACUUCGGGAAACCGGAGCUAAUACCGGAUAAUAUUUUGAACCGCAUGGUUCAAAAGUGAAAGACGGUCUUGCUGUCACUUAUAGAUGGAUCCGCGCUGCAUUAGCUAGUUGGUAAGGUAACGGCUUACCAAGGCAACGAUGCAUAGCCGACCUGAGAGGGUGAUCGGCCACACGGGAACUGAGACACGGUCCCGACUCCUACGGUAGGCAGCAGUAGGGAAUCUUCCGCAAUGGGCGAAAGCCUGACGGAGCAACGCCGCGUGAGUGAUGAAGGUCUUCGGAUCGUAAAACUCUGUUAGUAGGGAAGAACAUAUGUUUAAGUAACUGUGCACAUCUUGACGGUACCGAAUCAGAAAGCCCCGGCUAACUACGUG
Molecule: ribosomal RNA, 497 nt
Filed under: uncultured bacterium
Lineage: Bacteria
Description: partial 16S ribosomal RNA
Rfam family: Bacterial small subunit ribosomal RNA
Source: RNAcentral